RNAcentral lists this ribosomal RNA (980 nucleotides) under Pseudomonas sp. RNAcentral's name for it is "bacterial SSU rRNA". It matches the Rfam family "Bacterial small subunit ribosomal RNA", at positions 47 to 1029 of the family's 1533-position model. The record is from RNAcentral. Lineage: Bacteria; Pseudomonadati; Pseudomonadota; Gammaproteobacteria; Pseudomonadales; Pseudomonadaceae.
UGUGACAUUGAUCCCCGCUCAGGGUGUCUUGCUUGGUAACCAUGAGAGCGGCGGACGGGUGAGUAAUGCCUAGGAAUCUGCCUGGUAGUGGGGGAUAACGUUCGGAAACGGACGCUAAUACCGCAUACGUCCUACGGGAGAAAGCAGGGGACCUUCGGGCCUUGCGCUAUCAGAUGAGCCUAGGUCGGAUUAGCUAGUUGGUGGGGUAAUGGCUCACCAAGGCGACGAUCCGUAACUGGUCUGAGAGGAUGAUCAGUCACACUGGAACUGAGACACGGUCCAGACUCCUACGGGAGGCAGCAGUGGGGAAUAUUGGACAAUGGGCGAAAGCCUGAUCCAGCCAUGCCGCGUGUGUGAAGAAGGUCUUCGGAUUGUAAAGCACUUUAAGUUGGGAGGAAGGGUUGUAGAUUAAUACUCUGCAAUUUUGACGUUACCGACAGAAUAAGCACCGGCUAACUCUGUGCCAGCAGCCGCGGUAAUACAGAGGGUGCAAGCGUUAAUCGGAAUUACUGGGCGUAAAGCGCGCGUAGGUGGUUUGUUAAGUUGGAUGUGAAAUCCCCGGGCUCAACCUGGGAACUGCAUUCAAAACUGACUGACUAGAGUAUGGUAGAGGGUGGUGGAAUUUCCUGUGUAGCGGUGAAAUGCGUAGAUAUAGGAAGGAACACCAGUGGCGAAGGCGACCACCUGGACUAAUACUGACACUGAGGUGCGAAAGCGUGGGGAGCAAACAGGAUUAGAUACCCUGGUAGUCCACGCCGUAAACGAUGUCAACUAGCCGUUGGAAGCCUUGAGCUUUUAGUGGCGCAGCUAACGCAUUAAGUUGACCGCCUGGGGAGUACGGCCGCAAGGUUAAAACUCAAAUGAAUUGACGGGGCCCGCACAAGCGGUGGAGCAUGUGGUUUAAUUCUAAGCAACGCGAGAACCUUACCAGCCUUGACAUCAAUGAACUUUCAGAGAUGGAUUGGUGCCUUCCGGAACCA